RNAcentral lists this small RNA (148 nucleotides) under Macaca fascicularis (crab-eating macaque). Its description in RNAcentral is "Metazoan signal recognition particle RNA (ENSMFAG00000055705.1)". It matches the Rfam family "Metazoan signal recognition particle RNA". From Rfam's summary of the family: The signal recognition particle (SRP) is a universally conserved ribonucleoprotein. It is involved in the co-translational targeting of proteins to membranes. The record is from Rfam by way of RNAcentral. Lineage: Eukaryota; Metazoa; Chordata; Mammalia; Primates; Cercopithecidae.
GCCAGGUGUGGUGGUGCACACCUGUAGUCCCAGCUACUCAGGAGGCUGAGGCAGAAGAAUCGCUUGAACCCGGGAGGCAGAGGUUGCAGUGAGCCAAGAUCAUGUCACUGCACUCCAGCCUGGGUGACAGAGUGAGACUCUGUCUCAA